GGUUAAGUUAGAAAGGGCGCACGGUGGAUGCCUUGACACUAGGAGUCGAUGAAGGACGGGACUAACGCCGAUAUGCUUCGGGGAGCUGUAAGUAAGCUUUGAUCCGAAGAUUUCCGAAUGGGGAAACCCACCAUACGUAAUGGUAUGGUAUCCUUAUCUGAAUACAUAGGGUAAGGAAGACAGACCCAGGGAACUGAAACAUCUAAGUACCUGGAGGAAGAGAAAGCAAAUGCGAUUUCCUGAGUAGCGGCGAGCGAAACGGAACAUAGCCCAAACCAAGAGGCUUGCCUCUUGGGGUUGUAGGACAUUCUAUACGGAGUUACAAAGGAACGAGGUAGACGAAGCGACCUGGAAAGGUCCGUCGUAGAGGGUAACAACCCCGUAGUCGAAACUUCGUUCUCUCUUGAAUGUAUCCUGAGUACGGCGGAACACGUGAAAUUCCGUCGGAAUCUGGGAGGACCAUCUCCCAAGGCUAAAUACUCCCUAGUGAUCGAUAGUGAACCAGUACCGUGAGGGAAAGGUGAAAAGCACCCCGGAAGGGGAGUGAAAGAGAUCCUGAAACCGUGUGCCUACAAAUAGUCAGAGCCCGUUAACGGGUGAUGGCGUGCCUUUUGUAGAAUGAACCGGCGAGUUACGAUCCCGUGCGAGGUUAAGCUGAAGAGGCGGAGCCGCAGCGAAAGCGAGUCUGAAUAGGGCGUUUAGUACGUGGUCGUAGACCCGAAACCAGGUGAUCUACCCAUGUCCAGGGUGAAGUUCAGGUAACACUGAAUGGAGGCCCGAACCCACGCACGUUGAAAAGUGCGGGGAUGAGGUGUGGGUAGCGGAGAAAUUCCAAUCGAACCUGGAGAUAGCUGGUUCUCCCCGAAAUAGCUUUAGGGCUAGCCUUAAGUGUAAGAGUCUUGGAGGUAGAGCACUGAUUGGACUAGGGGUCCUCAUCGGAUUACCGAAUUCAGUCAAACUCCGAAUGCCAAUGACUUAUCCUUAGGAGUCAGACUGCGAGUGAUAAGAUCCGUAGUCAAAAGGGAAACAGCCCAGACCGCCAGCUAAGGUCCCAAAGUGUGUAUUAAGUGGAAAAGGAUGUGGAGUUGCUUAGACAACUAGGAUGUUGGCUUAGAAGCAGCCACCAUUUAAAGAGUGCGUAAUAGCUCACUAGUCGAGUGACUCUGCGCCGAAAAUGUACCGGGGCUAAAUACACCACCGAAGCUGCGGAUUGAUACCGAAUGGUAUCAGUGGUAGGGAGCGUUCUAAGGACAGUGAAGUCAGACCGUAAGGACUGGUGGAGUGCUUAGAAGUGAGAAUGCCGGUAUGAGUAGCGAAAGACGGGUGAGAAUCCCGUCCACCGAAUGCCUAAGGUUUCCUGAGGAAGGCUCGUCCGCUCAGGGUUAGUCAGGACCUAAGCCGAGGCCGACAGGCGUAGGCGAUGGACAACAGGUUGAUAUUCCUGUACCACCUCUUUAUCGUUUGAGCAAUGGAGGGACGCAGAAGGAUAGAAGAAGCGUGCGAUUGGUUGUGCACGUCCAAGCAGUUAGGCUGAUAAGUAGGCAAAUCCGCUUAUCAUAAAGGCUGAGCUGUGAUGGGGAAGCUCCUUAUGGAGCGAAGUCUUUGAUUCCCCGCUGCCAAGAAAAGCUUCUAGCGAGAUAAAAGGUGCCUGUACCGCAAACCGACACAGGUAGGCGAGGAGAGAAUCCUAAGGUGUGCGAGAGAACUCUGGUUAAGGAACUCGGCAAAAUGACCCCGUAACUUCGGGAGAAGGGGUGCUUUCUUAACGGAAAGCCGCAGUGAAUAGGCCCAAGCGACUGUUUAGCAAAACACAGCUCUCUGCGAAGCCGUAAGGCGAAGUAUAGGGGGUGACACCUGCCCGGUGCUGGAAGGUUAAGGAGAGGGGUUAGCGUAAGCGAAGCUCUGAACUGAAGCCCCAGUAAACGGCGGCCGUAACUAUAACGGUCCUAAGGUAGCGAAAUUCCUUGUCGGGUAAGUUCCGACCCGCACGAAAGGUGUAACGAUUUGGGCACUGUCUCAACCAGAGACUCGGUGAAAUUAUAGUACCUGUGAAGAUGCAGGUUACCCGCGACAGGACGGAAAGACCCCGUGGAGCUUUACUGUAGCCUGAUAUUGAAUUUUGGUACAGUUUGUACAGGAUAGGCGGGAGCCAUUGAAACCGGAGCGCUAGCUUCGGUGGAGGCGCUGGUGGGAUACCGCCCUGACUGUAUUGAAAUUCUAACCUACGGGUCUUAUCGACCCGGGAGACAGUGUCAGGUGGGCAGUUUGACUGGGGCGGUCGCCUCCUAAAGUGUAACGGAGGCGCCCAAAGGUUCCCUCAGAAUGGUUGGAAAUCAUUCGUAGAGUGCAAAGGCAUAAGGGAGCUUGACUGCGAGACCUACAAGUCGAGCAGGGACGAAAGUCGGGCUUAGUGAUCCGGUGGUUCCGCAUGGAAGGGCCAUCGCUCAACGGAUAAAAGCUACCCCGGGGAUAACAGGCUUAUCUCCCCCAAGAGUCCACAUCGACGGGGAGGUUUGGCACCUCGAUGUCGGCUCAUCGCAUCCUGGGGCUGUAGUCGGUCCCAAGGGUUGGGCUGUUCGCCCAUUAAAGCGGUACGCGAGCUGGGUUCAGAACGUCGUGAGACAGUUCGGUCCCUAUCCGUCGUGGGCGUAGGAAAUUUGAGAGGAGCUGUCCUUAGUACGAGAGGACCGGGAUGGACGCACCGCUGGUGUACCAGUUGUUCUGCCAAGGGCAUAGCUGGGUAGCUAUGUGCGGAAGGGAUAAGUGCUGAAAGCAUCUAAGCAUGAAGCCCCCCUCAAGAUGAGAUUUCCCAUAGCGUAAGCUAGUAAGAUCCCUGAAAGAUGAUCAGGUUGAUAGGUUCGAGGUGGAAGCAUGGUGACAUGUGGAGCUGACGAAUACUAAUAGAUCGAGGACUUAACCAU
This 2921-nucleotide ribosomal RNA is filed under the name Bacillus bombysepticus. RNAcentral describes it as "23S ribosomal RNA". It matches the Rfam family "Bacterial large subunit ribosomal RNA". The record is from RNAcentral. Lineage: Bacteria; Bacillati; Bacillota; Bacilli; Caryophanales; Bacillaceae.